GUUCUAGGAUGACAUGACCACAGGCAUUCGAGCACCUGAGAAAUCCUCGAGAGACCAGCUGAGGACCGCGUGGAGGACAGAGUGGAAGAACUGGAGGCAUACCGUGCUGGAAGGAGAGGAUUCUGGGAAGACAUCCGCACCGGACUUGUUCGUAUGGCCCAGGCAGAGAGAGCACCAUGUGCUGGUUCACUCCUCAAGUCCCAGGGCCAGGCCAGACCAAAGUCAAGGUCCCAGGACUCAGUCAAGAUUUCCCACCCGGGAGUCGGGACCCAGGUUCUUGAGCCGUCACCUGCUGCCUCCCAGGGUCUCAGAAGCUGGAGCAGUAAUCAGAUCCAGGAGGUGACCCCAGCUUGUUUGUGUGCACGGAGCUGGUUUGUGUGGCCGAGGACGCAUCUGCAUGUGUGUGGUUUGCUGUGGCGUCUUCACCGUGGAGCAUCCAGGUGAGCACGGGCACCUCCAGCAGCACCUGACCGGCUGCCUGCUGCUGCAGGGACUCAGUUCCGCCAGCUUCAGACGGGCCUGGUGAGCCGUAGAACAGGUCUCUCCUGUCCCCUCUCAACCAUUG
Oryctolagus cuniculus (rabbit) is the source of this 565-nucleotide non-coding RNA. The record is from RefSeq and is a predicted model, not a curated record. Lineage: Eukaryota; Metazoa; Chordata; Mammalia; Lagomorpha; Leporidae.